RNAcentral lists this ribosomal RNA (253 nucleotides) under uncultured bacterium. Its description in RNAcentral is "partial 16S ribosomal RNA". It matches the Rfam family "Bacterial small subunit ribosomal RNA", at positions 524 to 776 of the family's 1533-position model. The record is from RNAcentral.
UACGUAGGGUGCAAGCGUUACUCGGAAUUACUGGGCGUAAAGCGUGCGCAGGCGGCUUUGCAAGCCAGAUGUGAAAUCCCCGGGCUUAACCUGGGAACUGCAUUUGUGACUGCAUGGCUGGAGUGCGGUAGAGGGGGAUGGAAUUCCGCGUGUAGCAGUGAAAUGCGUAGAUAUGCGGAGGAACACCGAUGGCGAAGGCAAUCCCCUGGGCCUGCACUGACGCUCAGGCACGAAAGCGUGGGGAGCAAACAGG